Molecule: small RNA, 571 nt
Filed under: Drosophila ananassae
Lineage: Eukaryota; Metazoa; Arthropoda; Insecta; Diptera; Drosophilidae
Description: GF28168
Source: RNAcentral
GCAAACGAAGUCAUCAGCCGUAGCAAUUAAUUCUAAUUUGUUCAGUAGAGACCGUGAAUUCAAACUAAAAGUAUUCCUUAAGAUUUUCUUGUGCUUUUCUUCGAAAAAUUAUAAGAUGCUUCAAGAACUUGUGUUCAUCCUUGGUCCUUUAAUUGCCAUGUUGUCAUAUGUCGCUAAGAAUUCUUAUCCUUAUAUAUCAAAGUUGAACGAAUUUGAAUUUGUUUCGGAGGUUUUGGUCAUCGAAUCGGAGUUGCAAGACAUGAUGGAGUAUCUAAAAAAAUCAGGAGCUAAUGAGGAAACGCUAGACAUGGUACGAGUCCUUACUAGUAGUUUCCACACUGAUGUGUCUGAAGAUUCAAUGAAAUACUAUUGAUAAUUUGGGAAGAUUUCAUAAAAAAUUUCCGGGGUUUUCCUCUUUUGGUGAAGAAUUUUGGCAAUAACAAUUAUUUAAAAAAUUAUCAACUAAACUGAUUACUUGUACCAGGAUCUUGGUAAAUGAAGAAUUAUGAAAAACGGAGACAUUAAUUUUGGAAGAACGGAACACUAUUGGAAUACAUAAAAAUAUUAAAUU